GAUGAACGCUAGCGGAAGGCUUAAUACAUGCAAGUCGAGCGGUAGAUGGCUUCGGCCAUUGAGAGCGGCGCACGGGUGAGUAACGCGUACAUGACCUGCCUGUCAGAAGGGGAUAGCCCUGGGAAACUGGGAUUAAUACCCUAUGGUAUUGAUAUUAUGAAUGAUAUCAAUUAAAGUUGAGGCGCUGACAGAUGGAUGUGCGUCUGAUUAGCUAGUUGGUAGGGUAACGGCCUACCAAGGCGACGAUCAGUAGGGGGCGUGAGAGCGUGGUCCCCCACACGGGUACUGAGACACGGACCCGACUCCUACGGGAGGCAGCAGUAAGGAAUAUUGGUCAAUGCCCGCAAGGGUGAACCAGCCAUUCCGCGUGGAGGAUGAAGGCCCUAUGGGUUGUAAACUUCUUUUAGAUGGGAAGAAAAUGCUAGAUGUAUCUGGUACUGACGGUACCAUCAGAAUAAGCACCGG
Molecule: ribosomal RNA, 465 nt
Filed under: uncultured bacterium
Lineage: Bacteria
Description: bacterial SSU rRNA
Rfam family: Bacterial small subunit ribosomal RNA
Source: RNAcentral